Phasianus colchicus (ring-necked pheasant) is the source of this 6520-nucleotide non-coding RNA. The record is from RefSeq and is a predicted model, not a curated record. NCBI's taxonomy places the organism in Eukaryota, Metazoa, Chordata, Aves, Galliformes, Phasianidae.
GCCCCGCGCGCCGCCAGACCCCGCCCCCCUCCGCCCGGGAAGAUGGCGGCGCCCUUAGCGCAGCAGCUGGAGGAGCUGCUCAACCCCCGGCCCGACCUGCGAGACCCCGAGGACGACGCGGAGGAAGCCACAGUUGCUAAAGUGAUUGACAGGUUUGAGGAUGAGACUGCAGAUGACAUUUUACCUGUUGGUAAUAUACGGAAAAAAGCUUCGGCCUCCCUCUUAGAAGCUGAUAAAAGGUACAGUGGAAAAGCAACAUCUCGCAAAGCCUUGCAGGAAGAGCUGUGGGGAGAUGCUCUGUCUGAAGAAGGAUCUGCUGAAGGAGCCUCAGAUGAGUGGUAUAGUGGCAGUGAAGAUUCAGAAGACGAUGGCAGCUUGGGCAGUAAAACAGAGCAGCAGGCCAGCAGUGCUGGCAGUGACCAAGAGGAUAAUAUGGAAGAUGAUGAAGAGAGAGAUUCCACUGCCAAAGUACCAAAGUUCAGUUUCCAGAACAUCACGGACUUUGAGACAUUUGCAGAGGGGAUGGAUGAUGUUGGGAGCAGUGAUGGAGAAGAUGAAGAUGACGCCAGCAUGGAAGAAGAGGAAGGAAGUGAUGAUGAGAAAUAUGAGGGGGAAGACCAUGACCACAUAAAAGAAACCAGUGACAACGAGGAUGAUGGGGGGGUGAUGACAUUCUCAAAGGGACAAGCAAGUGAUGAGGUGGAAAAAGGAAAAGCGGUGAAGAAUCAGCUAGCACUGUGGGAUCAGAUCUUGGAAGGCAGAAUCAAGAUGCAGAAGGCACUUGUAAUAGCCAACCAGCUUCCUCAGCCCGAUACUUUCCCCCUUUUCAGAAAGGAAGGUGGACAGGAAUUCGACAAUGCUGUGGAGAGCUGUUGUAAAGCCAUAGACACAUUGCUGAGAGUGCUGGUGGACAUUCAGGAUGAGUUGCUUUAUCAAUGCCCGGGCACAAGGCACCUGGUAGAUGGAAAACAAUCAAAACCUGAGAGCGAUGAUGAAAUUCCCAGCAGCAGCGAUGAAGAGCGAGCGGGUGAAGCUCAGGAGAAGAGGAAGCGCCCUCCCAAACGAAAGCUGAAGGCUGAGGACUUCCCAGAGUUCAUAGCCAAGAGGUAUGACGACUACAGGACGUACCGGAACAACACCCUGCAGAAAUGGCAUGAGAAGACAAAGCUGGCAUCUGGCAAAAUGGGCAAGGGUUUCGGUGCCUUUGAGCGUUCAAUCUUGACUCAGAUUGAUCAUAUUUUGAUGGACAAAGAGAGAUUACUACGGCGGACACAGACCAAGCGAUCAGUGUACAGAGUGCUGGGGAAGAAGGAGCAGGAUUCCCAUCCAGCCCCUGAAUAUUUGCCUGAAAAUUCGGAAGUCCUCCCUGAGGCAGAUUCCAACAUGCACCUGAAGGACAUAGACGAGGAAAUAUUUGAUGAUGAUGACUUUUAUCACCAGCUCCUUCGAGAACUGAUAGAGCGUAAAACCACCUCAUUGGACCCCAACGAUCAAGUCGCCAUGGGCAGACAAUGGCUGGCCAUCCAGAAGCUACGGAGCAAAAUAAAGAAGAAAGUGGACAGAAAAGCCAGUAAAGGAAGGAAAAUCCGGUAUCAUGUCCAUAGCAAGCUGGUGAGCUUCAUGGCACCUAUUGACCACUGUACGAUGAAUGAUGAUGCCAGGACGGAGCUUUAUCGUUCGCUCUUUGGAAGAAUGAUGCGGCCUGAAGACCCUGAACGUGGUUAGGAUCCGGGACCGCCCGCACUGCAGGCGUGCCAUUCUGUUCGUUGGCUGCGGGUCUGGAUGGGGCGACUUGAUUUCCACUGAGUCAAGAGGAUUUAAAUGUCAUUUACAUAAUUAACGUGGCCUUAAAAUGGAGAAAAGGUGCAGUGCCUUCCAGCAGCCCCAGCUCCCAGGUCACAUUCCAGUUUCAGAUCAGCCUCUGUGCAGCCAUGGACAUCACCCAGCUCGUGGUAGGCACGGUGUGGGCACACAUCUGGGGCUACUUCUGCAAUUAGAACACAUUGGUGAAUUUUUCAGUCCAGCAUUGAUUGUGUACACUUAAUUAUUUCCGCUGAUUGUGACUGUGAGCCCUCUUGUCUUCGCUGUCACCAUGCUUCUGAAAGAUGGCAGCGCUAAUGCAGAGCUGCCAGAAGGCAUCACACGGGGUUUGUGGGGUUUCUGUAGCCAAAGGCCACAGUUUGGAAAUGAAACCCCCAUAAAGGGAAUCUAUUAGCCUGCUGCGAUCAAUCUGAAACCGAGGUUAUCUCGCGUAAAUAAUACGGCAUAUAUGUGUGUAAUGAGAAUGGCCAUUGCUUGUGACCACAGGAACUGCGCGGUCUUUGUUUUGUGGGAUUUAAUUAAAACACUUUGUAAACGGAUUGUCCAAGUUUGAUCGGUGCAGAAAUGGCACCAGCAGCUCUGGCCUCUCUUGGGCCCAUCAACAGACAGUUCUUAACCAGAGGCUGUGGUGUCACUUUGCACAGAGCUGCCUGAGCACCAGCAGAGUGUGCACAGAGCAGCUGCAGCUUUGCAGCAGAGCCUUGGCUGGUGCCUGUCAUGAUGGUGGUGUGGGACACAGCUGUGCAGAGCAGUCACAGGACCUGGGCUGUACAGCAGGAGGUCAUUCCCUGCACUCUUCAGAUUUGGAGUAAGUUUGUAGCUUCACUACAUCUAAAUAUGUGGGCUGACUGUAGGUGUGAGGCAUAACCAGAUUACAACUAGUUACAAGCAUGCAGGUACUGCUGCAAUUAAAUCAGAUGAUUGUUUUGUCCAUUUAAUCUCUGGAUUUCCCUUCCUCACGCAGCAGAGUUGAUGUGGUUCCACAAAAGCACUGCCAGCACUGUGGGUUCCUGGGGGGCUGCGCAGCCCUGCAGGCAGGACGUGGUGCUCAGCCCUCCAGGGAACGAUGGGUUUUUGUCUCAGCAAUGGGAUGGGUGCUGGAGCAGCACUGCUGUUCACAGGGCCUGGGUGAGAGCUGCUGCACAGCCUGAUGGCUCAGCACAGGGCAGCAGCAGUGAGACUCUGUAGCUCCGUCGUGUCCCCAGAGCUGUCUGCAGAUCUGGUAUUAAUUAAUCCUUUUUGCGCCUCUUCAUUACAGCUUUACGUCUCCUUUCUAGUUACCUGCUUCCAGUAAAUAGCUUCCUGGCACGUCACGCCGUGUAUCGAGCAGUCUGCCACAGCACAGGAGAACGUGCUGAGCUGCAGAGAGCCGGGGGUGUGUGAGGCACCUGGGCUGGAAGGUGGACAGGAGGAUGUGGGUGCUGCUCUGCCUCGUCCCACUGCCGGCAGCUUGCGAGCAGUCCUACCAGGUACAGAGAACCUCCUCUGGGAGUGGAGGACUUAAUUUACUCAAGGUUCUGUGACGUUUGUGGUGUUGUUUUUUUAAGGUGGGAAAGGAAAACUGUAAUUGUCUGGUUAAGCCCAGCUCAGGUGUGCUGCUGCUCCUUUAGGUAGUGUGCCUGGGAGCUGUGCUUCAGGGAACUGUGGGCCUGUGUCUCAUGCUGGCUGCACUCUGUGGGGCUGCAUCUCAGCUGCUUGUCAGUGGGCAGAGCAGGGCCUUCUCUGUCUCACAGCUCUCUGGUCAGGCUCUGCCCCUUUGUCCCCAUAGGCUGCCUUCCACAGCCCUUUCCAUUCUGGGGCGCUGCUGACGUGCUGCUCCUUCCCUGAGCUGCUCCUUCCCUGGGUGAGACCAUUAAGCCAAGAGCCAUGCCCAGCAUCACACUGCUGCAGGGUCCGAGGGCCACAGCUGUGGGCCUCCCCACAUCCUCUGGGUGCAAAUCUGGAAGCGUCCCCGUAAGCUGCAGUGUGUUGGUUCCCAGCAAUGGCAAAGCAGCACCGCUGCAGCCCCACCAAUGGCACCCCCACGUGGUUCCCCUGCCUUUCGUGGUACCUGCACUUUUUUCCUGAGCGGCAGCAGAGCUGUGUGGUCGUCUAACAUCAUUAAAAUCUCAUGGUUUAAUAACCGCAAUUCUGAAAGGCAUCAAGGGGAGUAAAUUAGCUGCUUCCAAACUUUGUGUUGGUGGAAUGGUUUCACGCUGCUGGCGCUGUCAGGGCAGGCAUUACGGAUGGCUGGCAGGGAGCACCGUGCCCCUGCCCUGUUGGGGUUUGCUGUGCUGGCAGGAGGGCAGGCUGCUCUGCAGGGCUGCUGCUCUGACUCCUGUGUCCUUUAACGUGGCAGCACCAAGAUUCUGGGUAUUAUUUUUUUUACAUUUUGAGAGCUGGAUGUAGCGUUAAAAGGGUAAUGUGGAACACUUUAAAUGUGAUAACUUCUCGUUCGUAUUGUUUGAAGAGAUAAGAACCAAAGCCCUGCUAAGCAUGCUUUUGAAUUCACUUAUCAGUGUUUAAGCAGGCUUCUCUGCCCGCUGCCCCCACCACCUGCACGGCCCUGCAGCUCCAGCCUGCUGCCCUUCAUGGGGAGGUCAGCACUCCUUCCUGGCACAGGCAGCUGUGCUGCCCGAGUCCCCAUGCCCUGGUGGCAGUGGUCACCGUGCAGCCAGGUGUGGGCAGCAGCUGUGUGCACGGGUCAGGGAGGGCGCAGGGAUCUGGUAUGAUUGCCACUAAGUUUUCCUAAUGAUGCCAAUUAACGGCCAGUGAGAUUUAUUUUAUUUUCCCAGUGGAAUAUCCAUUCUUUAUUCAUUCAUGAUACAGCUGCUAAUGAGUGCCUGCACACCCAGCCCAGUACCUCUGUGCAGCAUCGCACAGCAGCCAGGUGUGCUGUGUGCUGGGAACGGGCUGUGAGUGGUGGGGUGGCGCAGAGGGCUUCUCUUAAUCCUCUCCCCCUCCCCAGCCCCACAAUAGCAAAGAAUUUCAACUUUCAGACAAACAACUUCAUUUACAAGUGUGUCUCUAAUUAGCUGCAGAAUUAGUAAAGCAGAGUUUUCCCCCCAUAGAUCGGCCAAACCCCUGAGGGAGGCUGUGGAAUAGAGAGAAUCGCAUUUCCAAUUAUUUUGUUGAAUUGCUAAUUUAGUUAUUGUGCCUGGCGUAAUUGUGAUGGGUAUUGGGUGUGCAAUUCAAUUUGUUUUAAAUAUUUGUGGGAAGGCUGAUCAGUAAUGGAGCUGACCUAUUUCAUGGCCCAAAUUGAGAGAAGAGACUAAAACAAAAAACAGCUACAAAGCCACAGUUUGUCUCAGUUUUUAUUUUGAUGUCUCUCAUCCCUCUUAAGACUGUUGAUGCAACAAAAGGUUUACAUUAAAAGAUGAUGGCACUUUGAUCUCGGGCUUUUGAGAGCUUACAGCUUUGGUACUUCUUUUCUUGGCAUUUUAAUAUGUAGAUAUUUUAGGCUAAAGAGUUUUAAAUGCAUUUCUGGAGUUCAAUAGCCCCCUCUGUCCCCCCCCAGUUGUAUUAUGUUUGUUAAGGUGAUUUGUGCUUUUACCCAUCACGAUUCUGGUUUGAGAAAUGCACAAAAUAAUGGUGGGGGUUUUCCUGGCUCACGUUGUCCAGUUUAACACAUCACACCUUCAUGUUAACCUUUAACAGGGGGAACCUGGAAGCAGUGGUGGUAGGAGGUGAGCAGGGAGGGCGUACAGCAGAGCUACUUGCAGGUAGCAAGUAGGGCUACACAAUAUGAACACAGGGCUGCUGUGCCACCUCCCUGGGGGGCAGCAGGGUUAAUAGGGGGCUGUGCCAGCACCUGCAGAGCUGCAGUCACUCAGUGUUGAAGAAGAAAUCUGGGGAUGGGGGCACCUGAGUGAGGCUCAGUGGGUGCAGCUGUGGUGCUCAGAACGGGGGGUGACAGACUUACACUCCUGGCAACAGAAAGAGAUGUAAUUCGUUCUUUUUAUUAAAAGAAACUGAGGUAAGUGAAAUACUUCAGCACCAGCAAGAACUGCGCGUACUGAGGGGGGCUCCCGCAGUGCCAGACCCCCCACCCCGACCCACACACACACGGACAGGGCAGGGCACUGCCAGCACUGUGCUGGGCUCCAGCAUUCACCAACAGCUGCUUUACCCCCAAAUUAAGUGGUACCUGAGCCCCUAACACUGAGCUGGAGGGGGCUGCUCUCACCCAGCAGGCAGAGGAGUUUGGCAGCUGCAGCUCCCCCCAGGCACAAGGCGUAGUGUGGUGGGCACCAGGACCUCUCCCAUUAACACCUGCAGAAAGGGUGGUAACAGACCCAUGUGUGACACCACUGUGUAGGAAUUCCUGGUGAGGUGCCCUGAGCAGUCCUGCCUGGCUGAGACAUUCUCUGUCUGUCCUUGUGUCCGGCUGCAGCCUGGAUUGGCAUAAGUAAAAGCAUCUCUGGGGAUUGUUUGGAAGGAGUGAAGGGCAAAGAAGAGUCUUUUAAGUUAAAGUUAGGGUGCUGAACUAUUAGGAUGAGGUUUGUCUUUUAGGUGGCAGCUCCUGGUCCUCCCAGACAGCAGAGAGUAACCCCAGCACUGCACCUCAAUCUUACAGCACUCCGGCUGCUGUGCACAGAAGGGGGUGAGCAGCAGUUCAGAGGGAAAGAGCACAGGGGGGAGUACAGGAAAUCGAUGCUCUUACGUUGAAGAAGGCGAGUCCAUUGUGGAGAGGAUCCGCACGAUCUCCGCUCGCUGGGUG